Molecule: long non-coding RNA, 1758 nt
Filed under: Helianthus annuus (common sunflower)
Lineage: Eukaryota; Viridiplantae; Streptophyta; Magnoliopsida; Asterales; Asteraceae
Description: hypothetical non coding rna
Source: RNAcentral
UUUGUUUAUUGUUUUCCUUACACACGUGUAACUGUCAUUGGCUUCUUCACGUCGCCUCUUUCCACGUUACCUUUCAUCUUUACCAAAUCGAUUAAACGUCUCCAUUCUUCUUGAACCCUAAAUCGAUAAUCAGAAAUCGAUCGCAUGACAACAACUGCGCUCAAACCUGGCACCCAUCUCCUCCUUCGCAAGCCCUAAGUUCUCCUUCUAUUUGACCACCAGAUCUCCUCAGCGUGUCAUCCUUAAACUCGGGUUUGCCGAGCCUCGAUUUUGCCUUCAUACAAUGGGCAGGUUGUUUAGGCCUGGAAUUGGAACCGGAAUCGUUUGGUCAUUUUAUUUAUCAACAUUUUUGGUGUUAUCACGCAACUUAUUUUGAUGUGAAACCUUCCAAAAUAAAACUAUGUUAUUAUAGUUUAUUACAUCAAAAAGAAAAAUAAUACAUAGAAACUGUUUUUCCUCAUUUUAAUCUACAUAAAAAAUUCUUUUGAUCACCAUGUGUUAUGGACUUGAAAGGUUAUACUCACCACUACGUAAACAAAAGGCGUUAUAGGAGAAACACUGUUAACGAAAUAUAAUUGUCAUGUGGAGAUUAAAAUGAGGGGUAGAAAUUUGUAGGUAUUUAACUAAAAUUAAAGUGAUUGAGUUUUGAUGUAAUUUCAUGAAAGGUUUAAAGAGAUUUCACAUCCAGAAGUUGGAUUGUUGAUGGUAGAGCUAUUGCAUGAAAGGUUGAAACCUGUUGUCUGCCUUUGGUAAAUAAAGUCAAAGACUGGAGCAAUUCAGGAUUGACCAUGAUGCCAUUUCAGGAUUGAUAGUAGUGAUGUAUCAGUAGAGUAGUGGUCUGGGCUUCCCAUUGGUGUGAAAUUUGAACCCACUGAUCUGAUCUUGAGCUCUUAGAACAUUCGGCAGCCAAAUGUGGUGUGGGGAAUCAAAAACCACACCAAUUAAUUGAUGAGUUCAUCCCUACACUUGAUGUAGAUGAAGGAAUAUGUUCCAAACAUCCUCCUGAAAAUCUUCCUGGGUAGUCACGUUGAGAAAAUAUUAUAUGGACUCAGCUAUAUAGGAGCAACUAACUAAUGCAUCAUUGUUGGGAGUGAGAUGGACAAACUUGCAAUUGAAGAACCAGGUUUAAAGAACCGUGGUGUUCCUCAAAAAGUUUCUUACAAGGAUUUACCAUCUCAAAAACAGGUUUUAGUUUAAGUUCAAAUUAGAUCAUUUUAUAUUAAUAUGUUAGAUAGUAACAUAAAGUUUUGGUAAAUAUUAGGAUUAUGGAUUUGAGAGUUAUACAGUUUAAUAAAUACAUAUCGGGUAUUAAUGUGUUUACUUAAUAUCUUGAUUUGCCACUGUGUGUUGUCAACUUGUCAUUUGUUUUAGACUCCCACAUUGCCCGAGAGAAUUUCACUAGCAAGAUUGGUAUGCGCUGGUAUUGUAUGUCGUACAACUCCUGUAAACAUAAAACAUGAAGUACUGUAUGUUUUUAAGACUAUAAUGUCCGCAAUUAUAAACAACUAAGACGUCGCAACAACUAAGACGUCGCCGCCGCAACGCGCGGCCUAUGACAACAACCUAGUUCUAAAAUGGAAUAUAAUUUGUACUACUACAUUCAUGUUUUUUAUUUAGUCUUUUUUUUAAUUAAUGUCAUGCUAUUUUAUAUUUUUUUAUUUUAACGAAAUAGUAACUAAAUGAAUGUGUCAAUGCUUAUUCAUGUAUGUGUAUAUCAAAUAAAGCCUACGCAUGUAUGGGUUUAGCAAAUAAAGCAUU